GCUAGCCUGAACUCGGUUAAUUCAGAAACUUGACACCGCCCCCCAAAAAAGUGAGCGGUGAAUUUGCCGUCACGAAACAGCAGCUUACGCUACGGUGCACAGCUUUCGUCUCGCUCUAGGCUGCGUGUUAUGGCACUGCUGGCUGUUGGGAUGCAAUGUUUCAACGCUGCAUGGUUUCUGCCCGGCGACACCACCCGAAUUCGACAGUUGUUGCUUCCUCUUACGUGUUCCAGGCAUGAGGAGGUGUCGAAACCCAUGACGUCACAGCGAACCAGUGCAGGAACAUCAAGGCAGCGCCACCACCUGUCCUUCGAUUUUACUUUUCCUGCUUAUCAAGUCUCCUCCCACGUGGUGGCCGCGGGAAUCGACUCCUGGACCUCCUGCUCAGCCGUCCGACGCCAUAUAACCAUUGAUGCACCAUGUCGGCUAAGAGCGUAAGUGCCAUAGGAGUUUCACUUCCGGACACUGUGCGCUAACGUGUACGUGCCAGCAGAGAAAUCAUUCUUGGAAGCCGGGUCAACUCAGUGUACACACUGAGAAGAGCUUCACGUCAGGCAACUGUAAGCCUUCCCGUGCGUAAGCCGUAUUGUUUACCGCGGGGCGGCCCCGUGCAGUGUCCAGGGAACGAGCGUUCGGCGUCAUCCCCUGCUCCUAUAAUAGGGCGCGGAUACAGUCUGGCGUAACGCGGUCAUGCACCGCGCGCGCCGCUGCAGUUACGCUAUACACGCUGGCGGAAAGUGGACGUUCAGCGCAGCGUUUACGGCGACGCGAGCGUGAG
This is a long non-coding RNA of Dermacentor andersoni, 778 nucleotides long. RefSeq lists it as uncharacterized. The record is from RefSeq and is a predicted model, not a curated record. Lineage: Eukaryota; Metazoa; Arthropoda; Arachnida; Ixodida; Ixodidae.